Molecule: ribosomal RNA, 253 nt
Filed under: uncultured prokaryote
Description: partial 16S ribosomal RNA
Rfam family: Bacterial small subunit ribosomal RNA
Source: RNAcentral
ACGUAGGGGGCGAGCGUUGUCCGGAAUUACUGGGCGUAAAGGGUGCGUAGGCGGCCUGAUAAGUCAGGUGUGAAAUACCAGGGCUCAACCCUGGGGGUGCACUUGAAACUGUCGGGCUUGAGUGCAGGAGAGGAAAGCGGAAUUCCUAGUGUAGCGGUGAAAUGCGUAGAUAUUAGGAGGAACACCAGUGGCGAAGGCGGCUUUCUGGACUGCAACUGACGCUGAGGCACGAAAGCGUGGGUAGCGAACAGGA